GCCCUGAAGCAUGGGUCUGCGAAUGGCUCAUUACAACAGCAACAAUCCUAAUGGCUGUAGGGUGGCAGCUCAAACACCUCAAGUGUGGCAUCCAUCAAGCCCAACUGGCUGGUUAGUACGUGCAUGUGUUGCUCACCUCAAACAACAUUCCAGGAUCCUUGUUGGUCCUGGAUGGAGGGGGCAGCAACUGGCUGGGAACAAAGGCUGGUGCCUGACCAAGGCAGUUCCAGAUUGGUGAGUCAGGCCAAUGGUUGCUAUAGCAGAGUGGUGCCCACCGCUGCAAAGCCAUAGGAACUUCUGCCCUAUCAGCUGUUGAUGGUGAGAUAGUUGCUCACCAUUGCUAUGACAGGUAACAGAGAAUCAGGGUUUGAUUCUGGAGAGGGAGCCUGAGAAAUGGCUCCCACUGCCAAGGCAGGCAGCAGGCGCGGAAAUUGCCCAAUCCCAGCAUCCUGGGGGAGGC
RNAcentral lists this ribosomal RNA (460 nucleotides) under uncultured eukaryote. RNAcentral describes it as "bacterial SSU rRNA". It matches the Rfam family "Eukaryotic small subunit ribosomal RNA", at positions 71 to 465 of the family's 1831-position model. The record is from RNAcentral.